Molecule: unclassified non-coding RNA, 394 nt
Filed under: uncultured fungus
Lineage: Eukaryota; Fungi
Description: partial contains 5.8S ribosomal RNA, internal transcribed spacer 2, and large subunit ribosomal RNA
Source: RNAcentral
AACGCACAUUGCGCCUUCUGGUAUUCCGGAAGGCAUGCUUGUUUGAGUAUCAGUAACAACCUCAGCCAAGUUUUUUGUCGCUUCUGGCGCGGAAAGCAACAGCUGGAUUUGAGCAAAGUCCCUUGGGAUUUCAAUUCGACGACCUUCGGGGAGGCAAUUGAGCCGUGAGGGAUGCUUGAAAUACAGGUUCGGGCUGACCAACUGUCCUGGGCUACAAGCAUUUCAUACUUGAUCCCGUUAAACGGAUCAUUUCCAUUGCUGCAGCCAUCACAAACAGGAUCAAACGUGUCCAGUGUUUCCGACUGAUGCAGGAAGUUGGAGCCAACACAGAGCGAUCUGUGUAGGUUCUUUCUAACUCGAUCUCAAAUCAAGUAAGACUACCCGCUGAACUUAA